GAAAGCAUGUCAUGAUUUUUUCAGACGCUAGUGAUGUUGCUGGAGCAGCACAUACAGUAGAGUUGGAUCAAAAGGUUUUUCACAUUGGAUGGAGCGAGUUUGAAAAAGAAAAGAGUUCUACAUGGAGAGAAUUAAAGGCUAUAGAGCUUGGUUUAUUAUCGUUUCACAAAGUUCUUUGUGGAAAAACUGUGAAAUGGUUUACUGAUAAUCAAAACUGUGUAAAAAUCAUUGAAAGUGGGAGUAUGAAAAGUGAUUUACAAGAAAUUUCAUUGGGCAUUUUUCAGAUUUGUCUGUCUAACGGUAUUUCAAUCGACGCUCAAUGGAUACCCAGAAAUAAAAAUUUCAGAGCAGAUUAUUUAAGCAAAAUUAUUGAUUACGAAGACUGGGGGAUAACAGAUGAGUUUUUUGAAUUUAUGACCAGUAUUUGGGGUCCAUUUGACAUUGACCGGUUUGCGAAUUUUAAAAAUACCAAGUUAGAACGAUUCAAUUCGUUAUUUUGGAAUCCUGGUACAGAGGGUGUAGACUGUUUUAGUUUUUCAUGGGAAAGGGAUAACAAUUGGCUAGUACCCCCCAUUUCAUUGAUUGGUAAAUGCAUUUUACAUUUGAUUGGAACUAAAUGGAGAGGUACUAUCAUUGUUCCACAUUGGCCCUCUUCUUAUUUCUGGCCUUUGAUUUUUGACGAGUAUAAUGAAACCAUGCCCGUUGUAAAGGAGGUUUUAGAGUUUCGUGAAGGUUACAGAAUUUUUAAACAAGGAGAUAAUAAGAAUUCUAUUUUUGGUUCUCUGGAUUUUUAUUCAAAAGUUUUGACAAUCAGAUUAGAUGCAAGAAUGUGAAAUGGGACCUGAUGUGCAAGGGCACAUUGCAGAAGGUUUAACAUAUUAUUGGUCCUGGUGCAUGCGGUGCAUUGCAGAUGUUUUUAUAAACGUAUAUAUUGUAUGAUUAGUUGUCAAGAGAGAUUUAUUGGAAGAUGCGUUAAUCUUAUAAGUGGUAUCGGGUCCUGAUAUGCUAGAGGCAUAUUGCAGAAGUUUUAUAUGAAUAACAUUAUAUACGGAGGUCAUGAAUAAUGAAAUGUGUGUAUAUUUCGAUGCAUAUACAUGUAGGUAGUGAUAUUUUUUUAAUAGAUGUUUUCAAUUAUGCGUUUUACAGAUAUAUUCCGCAAGGGAAGGUGGGCAGAAAACAGAUCGUACGACAACCCAGAGCUGAAUAGACUAUCUGCCCUACUACCGGAGUACUGUCUAAAAGGAAAGGCAGAAAAUACCAGAAAGAAAUAUAAUUUGAUGAAUGUAUAUGGAUGGAGGUAUAAGGGUACAUGAUGGUACAUGAGAAUACAUGAUGGUACAUGAGGGUACAUGAGGAUUGAUAAUGUAUAUUAUAAUGUGUGAAUAAAUCUGAGUGCUUCGCCUCCUAUCCUAUAAAUAA
This is a long non-coding RNA of Saccostrea echinata, 1419 nucleotides long. RefSeq lists it as uncharacterized. The record is from RefSeq and is a predicted model, not a curated record. NCBI's taxonomy places the organism in Eukaryota, Metazoa, Mollusca, Bivalvia, Ostreida, Ostreidae. The transcript is spliced from 2 exons.